Small nucleolar RNA from Gossypium raimondii (Peruvian cotton), 107 nucleotides. It matches the Rfam family "Plant small nucleolar RNA R71". Rfam says of the family: R71 is a member of the C/D box family of snoRNAs containing the C (UGAUGA) and D (CUGA) box motifs. Multiple nearly identical copies of this snoRNA have been identified in Arabidopsis, and it is thought to function as a 2'-O-ribose methylation guide for 18S ribosomal RNA. Lineage: Eukaryota; Viridiplantae; Streptophyta; Magnoliopsida; Malvales; Malvaceae. The record is from Rfam.
AACUCAUGGUGAGGGCACCGUUUCAAUAAGUCCUUAUACCUCCCCCAUGCAUCAUAUAACGUUUCUAAAUUGAUCUGCACAAAGGAAAAGAUAUCAUUCCUCAGCUU